RNAcentral lists this unclassified non-coding RNA (295 nucleotides) under Hevea brasiliensis (rubber tree). The record is from RNAcentral. Lineage: Eukaryota; Viridiplantae; Streptophyta; Magnoliopsida; Malpighiales; Euphorbiaceae.
AGCAAGUUAUGCAUUACAAACCUUGUCUUUGAAUUAAUUACUUUUCCCAAUUUGACAAGAAUUGUCAUUCUAUUUUGUGCCGCAGAGAACCUCCCAGAGGAAGCUCGGUGAGAUCCACAAUGACCCUAUCUCCAAUGUUUGGUUACCACCGGCGGGAGGAUAGAAGACCAAUUGGAGCGCCGCUAGGGGACCAUUUACCACUAAUGAUGCCUGAAGUGAUCCCUCAGAUGAUAUCAACCCAAGUUAUUAAAAUAGCACACUGGAGAUCCGAAAAAAAAAAAAAAAAUACGGCCAA